Manis javanica (Malayan pangolin) is the source of this 619-nucleotide long non-coding RNA. RefSeq lists it as uncharacterized. The record is from RefSeq and is a predicted model, not a curated record. NCBI's taxonomy places the organism in Eukaryota, Metazoa, Chordata, Mammalia, Pholidota, Manidae.
AGCGGCUUGCGGUCACCACUUCUUUCAGGUCACUCUCGGGUUUCCCGGCCACCAUAAAGGGCCACGUCUGCAGGAGAGAAGAGGGUGGAGGAGGUUGACUGGACUCUCCUCAAUGGUUCUUACGGCAGGUGUCUCGUGCUGUUGCAGCCAGAUGGCAGCUGGAGCCGGAGUCCUCUGAGAGCUUGAUUAGGCUGUACAUCCAAGCAGAUAAGCAACGUGAAAUUGAGAAGACAUACAAAUUUUUUUUUCUAAACUGCCAUCAGAUCAGUAAGUGAGAGCUAAGCAAUAUAAGGGCAUCUAUUUUGAAGAAAUAAAUGCUGUGUCUAGUUGGCUAAAUUAUCUCUCUAGAUUAGAAACCAGUCAUCUGAUCAUUUUAAUUUCCAUGAUCACUAGCGUAGGGGUUGUGGCAAUCAGUUAGGAAGUGUUAUGAAUAGAAACUGAACUCUUAAGCAGCCUCUAUUAGGGAACCUACAUAUGCAGACUCACCAAACACUCAGACAAGAAGAAAAACCUGAUGAGUCAUCACAGAAUUUGGAUGGUCUCCAGUGUUCUUCCUGAUGGUGGAGUUUUUUACAAACGCUUCCUAUACUUAUUUUCUUAUGAUUUUUUUUACAUAAUA